GUAUCUACUUUUCACGUUUGAAUUCAAAACCAUAAUUGUAUCUGUUCUGAUUUAUUUUGUCGUUUCUGUAGAUGUUAAUGCUUUGAAAAUAUAUUAUUUCAAUACAGGCUGAUGGACCUGGAGCCGAGGAGGAGGAAUCUGACAAAUCUAGGUCCGAGGUUAACGAUGAUGAGGAGGAUGAUGAGGAAGGAAGUGGAGAGGUCCUGUGAAUUAACAAUUAACUACAGUUCUUAUUUUAUUGGUCAGAAGAUAAUUAUUUAUGCUGAUGUUUUCAUUGGUCUGUAUGUUGCUUACAAUAGAAUUUAAUGUUUGUUUACAGGAGGAGGAUGAUGAUGAGUAAAGGGACUGUGGGGGGCCAGAAGUUUAGGAUGUGAAGAAAAAUGUCAUGACCUCUACCUUUUGAUUAGUAGUAUCCUAAGAUAAAUAGUUUCUUUUUUC
Molecule: long non-coding RNA, 438 nt
Filed under: Coffea arabica (coffee)
Lineage: Eukaryota; Viridiplantae; Streptophyta; Magnoliopsida; Gentianales; Rubiaceae
Description: long non-coding RNA (CARA_LNC004917)
Source: RNAcentral